UCAAAAAACUAGUGCUGAUUACUCAUUCAUUUGCAAACACGUAGAUUUAGUUGAACACAUACAAGAGGCAAUAUAUUGAUAAAAUGAAGACACAAACUGUCUCCCCACUUAAGAGAAAUUUAUAAAACAGAGCAGUUAUAUUCCAAACCUACAAAAGUGUAAGAUUAAAAAAUACAUCCAAAUAAAACAAAAUCAUCUCUGCAUGGUGAAACUUAAUUCCAAUUCUGCCACAUUCCUCCAAACCGAGAGGAAAAGCUGCCCUCUUUUGGUCAGACAGCAGAAGUGUGCGGGAUUCAACAGCCUCAAUACGAUAUCUGUAAACAAACAAUGCUUUGAAAUGUAUUAACAUAAAUAUAAAUAAAAGAAUCUCAGGGUAAUAUACUCAACACAAUAUGUUUGAUACAACCUUGUUUAAUAGAACAUUUGUACAACCAAGAAUGUAAAAAAACAAAACAAAACAAAACAAAAGCAGCUAAAAUGAAGAGUGAUUCACUUUUUUCUUUUUAAAAAAAUAUUGUCUGCGUUUGCCCCUUGUUCACAAACCAUUUUGAAAAUUAUAACACAAAAAAAAACAUUGAAAGGCAAUUACAUUUCUUGGCGAUAUAAAUAUAGUGGUCUGAACAAGGUUUCAAACAACUCAUUAAAGAAGAGCAUUUUUGAGUUACACAAUCCUGGUCGCAGUCUGAUUUGUUGAUCUAAUGGUACAAAACCAAUUCUUUCUCUUUUUUUCCUUAAAUUUAAAUGUGCUCUUCAUGUUGACUAUAUACAUUCUGUAUGGCAGUAGUCUGUAAGUACUGACUGCUCCCAACCUUUUAGUAAGUGUAGUCUGAGUAGUAAUCCUUUGGAGGACCAUAGCCCCGGUUACAGUGCGUUCCUCCCCACAUUGACCCUCUGCCCGGUCUGGACCUCAUGGGCAUGGGGGGCAUUCCUCUACCUCUGAAGCCUCCACGUCUGAUGUCCAUAAGCCCUGGAAUGGGCCCUCGGGGGCCAAACAUGCGGUUCCCACUGUGUGGGAUCGGCCCGUGUGGCCCUCCUCGGCAUGCAGGACGCAUCGUGACUCCAGGCCGGGGUAGGAGCCCUCUGGGGUUGCAAGGCAUGCCCCCUCCAGACAUGCCUCGGACAUGUGUCAUGCCUCGGGCAUGUGUCAUGCCACCUCUGUGGCUCUCUGUGCAAGAGUCUACUGAUGUCCUACUCCCCUGACUGCAGGGCAUUACACUGCCCGAUGUGUUGCUUUUCUCAGUCCCUCCAUCCUGGUACUGUAAUGAGGAAGGCGGUGUGCCAGACGUACUUCCAUCAACUUUAUUAUUAAGAGUCAAACCCUCGCCAGGCCCUAUGCAUAAUCCUUCAGUUGAUGCUGCACCUUCAUUCUUCCCAAAAGGUGCUGUGUUCCCCCCCGAAGCAUAGCUAUUCUGUGCCCUUGUUGGAGGUGCCCAGUUAUACAUGGGUGGCACAGGGGGUGUGGGUAUGGGCCCAGGGAAUACAGGACCAUCUGGGUAGCUGGGCAUAGUGCAAGGUAUAGAGGAGGAAGAAGAGGAAGCGAGGACAGGAGGUGAAGAAUAGGUAGAGCUCAUGUGAUAGCCUGGAGAACCGGAAUAGGGGCUCCACUGUGCUGAGUUGGGGUACAAGUAGCUCUGGUGGGGGUUCACACCAAAACCAACCAAGUUGUCCUCCCCCCCAGGCAUGGAUGUUCCAGCCUGCUUAGUAGCUUUAUACUGUGAGAUGGCCGCCUUGAGAACAUUGUAAUCCACAGAACAAGAGGACAGAGGGACUGUUUUAUGUGGGUCAGAGAGAGGGGGCAGAAUGUCCUCGCUCACAGGUUGAAGAGGUAGAGUGGCCUGCUUCUCCACUGCCCUGUCCUCCGCUUGCAUGGUUGCAUCCUCAUCCGAGUCUAGGGACAUGUCCUCCUCAUCCAUGCACGAAUCUGGCUCUGCUGGAGAUGAAAGGCAAUGAUAGCAACUUACUUUCAAGAAAAAAGAAGAAAAAAAAAGAAAGAAAGAAAAAAAGCACAAACACACACACACACACACAUCACAUAAACUGUUAAAUUCUGGAAUAUUGAUAUUAUAAAUUAGGCCAAUUGUAGGCUUGAAGAAAGAUAAAUAAAAAUGUGAAGUAGGGUUGUGUAAUUAACUGGAUUUUAACAUAACUGUGAAUUCAAUAUGUGGCAAAAUAGCUGUGAUUUAGCCAUUACUGCGCAACUCUAAUCUGAAGUGUGAAUGUUGGAGGGGGUUCCAGAGAAAAGGUGAUACGCUGGAGGUACAAAAGAAAGAAAAGGAGAACAAUGGAAUAAAUCAAAACAAAGCAAGUUAGAUCUGCUUUCAGAAAAUAAUAAAGCAAUUAAAAUAUUCAUUGUGGGAUUAAAUGCUUCCUUAACCACAAAGUACACACCGUGGCGGUUACCUGGAGCCGGAACAAUGGGCAGUGAGUCUUCAGCUUGAGUCCUGCAUAUCAGGCUCUCGAAGUCUCUCAUGAUGUCAUUCAAGCUAGUUGUGAUGAUCCCAUUACUAGAGAACUUGGUCACAUCAAAGGACUUAUCUGUUAAAAAAAAGAAAAAAAAAGAAAGAAAAGGGAAGAUGCAUCAUGCUCUAACUCCUUUGACAGCAUUAAUAAGUAAAACUAAAUAGAGGGAUAAACAGGCAUGGGGUAAUUAAACAGGAUUAAAGACUAUUAGUCGCUCCAGGAUUUUGCGAUCGCAGAUUAAUGCAAAAUCAAAGAAACACUGCAAUUUUAGCAAUUUUUCAAAAUUACUGCAGAUUUUCCACAGACUUGGUCCAAGACGCGUCAUGUGACGUCAUCACAACAUGCAGCCAAAGCCACCUUCAAUGCACGUGCGUUGAUUAUAAGUACAGCUAAAAGGUCUCAUUUACCAGCAAAAGACCAUGCAAAACUAUGUUGUGCAACUGCAAUUUCACCAAUUCACCUUUUUUUGCACUGCCAAUUUCGAAAAAAGUCGUAGCAAAAUCAAGCAUUUUUGGCCGUAGCAAUCACAAAAUACCUCAGCGAAAUCCUGUACGGACUGAGUCUAUUGCUGUUUGAGUGUACCUGUGAGGAAGAUGACGUGUCUGAGCUGUGUGUGCUGAGCCUGUAACUUCACCAAACAGUCCAGAUCUGGAGCUUGUCUUGAUGGAGCAUCACACUCGUGGUAAGGCAAGAAUUCCACCAGGUGCUUCUUUUGAUAAGUUGUCAGCAGAUUUAACAGAUCCAGAGCGCCGCUGUUUGACCUG
Molecule: long non-coding RNA, 3224 nt
Organism: Ictalurus punctatus (channel catfish)
Lineage: Eukaryota; Metazoa; Chordata; Actinopteri; Siluriformes; Ictaluridae
Source: Ensembl